AGAGUUUGAUCCUGGCUCAGGAUGAACGCUGGCGGCAUGCCUAAUACAUGCAAGUCGAACGAGAGGAAGGAGAGCUUGCUUUCCUGAAUCUAGUGGCGAACGGGUGAGUAACACGUAGGUAACCUGCCCAUGUGCCCGGGAUAACUUCUGGAAACGGAUGCUAAAACCGGAUAGGUAGCAGACAAGCAUUUGACUGCUAUUAAAGUGGCUAAGGCCAUGAACAUGGAUGGACCUGCGGUGCAUUAGCUGGUUGGUGAGGUAACGGCCCACCAAGGCGACGAUGCAUAGCCGGCCUGAGAGGGCGGACGGCCACAUUGGGACUGAGACACGGCCCAAACUCCUACGGGAGGCAGCAGUAGGGAAUUUUCGUCAAUGGGGGGAACCCUGAACGAGCAAUGCCGCGUGAGUGAGGAAGGUCUUCGGAUCGUAAAGCUCUGUUGUAAGAGAAAAACGACAUUCAUAGGGAAUGAUGAGUGAGUGAUGGUAUCUUACCAGAAAGUCACGGCUAACUACGUGCCAGCAGCCGCGGUAAUACGUAGGUGGCGAGCGUUAUCCGGAAUGAUUGGGCGUAAAGGGUGCGUAGGUGGCAGAUCAAGUCUGGAGUAAAAGGUAUGGGCUCAACCCGUACUGGCUCUGGAAACUGAUCAGCUAGAGAACAGAAGAGGACGGCGGAACUCCAUGUGUAGCGGUAAAAUGCGUAGAUAUAUGGAAGAACACCGGUGGCGAAGGCGGCCGUCUGGUCUGGAUUCUGACACUGAAGCACGAAAGCGUGGGGAGCAAAUAGGAUUAGAUACCCUAGUAGUCCACGCCGUAAACGAUGAGAACUAGGUGUUGGGGGAAUAACUCAGUGCCGCAGUUAACGCAAUAAGUUCUCCGCCUGGGGAGUAUGCACGCAAGUGUGAAACUCAAAGGAAUUGAC
Molecule: ribosomal RNA, 919 nt
Filed under: human gut metagenome
Description: bacterial SSU rRNA
Rfam family: Bacterial small subunit ribosomal RNA
Source: RNAcentral